This 29-nucleotide non-coding RNA is filed under the name Mus musculus (house mouse). Lineage: Eukaryota; Metazoa; Chordata; Mammalia; Rodentia; Muridae. The record is from RNAcentral.
UGGGUCUACCGCUGCCAAUUGGCUGUGAC